GUCCCAUUCCGAACCCGGAAGUGAAACAUCGUUGCGCCGAUGGUAGUGGGGCGAUAGGCCCUGUGAGAGUAGGUCGUUGCCAGGU
This 85-nucleotide ribosomal RNA is filed under the name Verrucomicrobiia bacterium. Lineage: Bacteria; Pseudomonadati; Verrucomicrobiota; Verrucomicrobiia. RNAcentral also lists the same sequence under 1 other name. The record is from RNAcentral.